GUCCCUUUCGUCUAGUGGUUAGGACCCCACUUUUUCACAGUGGAAACGCGAGUUCGAGUCUCGUAAGGGAUA
RNAcentral lists this transfer RNA (72 nucleotides) under Symbiochloris sp. SG-2018. RNAcentral describes it as "tRNA-Glu". It matches the Rfam family "tRNA". From Rfam's summary of the family: Transfer RNA (tRNA) molecules are approximately 80 nucleotides in length. Their secondary structure includes four short double-helical elements and three loops (D, anti-codon, and T loops). The record is from RNAcentral. Lineage: Eukaryota; Viridiplantae; Chlorophyta; Trebouxiophyceae; Trebouxiales; Trebouxiaceae.